UGCGAGCGGAGGGCGCGGUCGCAAGAUCGUGGCCCCGCACACGGCUCAGUAACACGUAGUCAACCUACCCUUGGGACGGGGACAACGCCGGGAAACUGGCGAUAAUCCCCGAUAGGUGAGGGAUGCUGGGAUGCUUCUUCGCUCAAAGCUCCGGCGCCCGAGGAUGGGACUGCGGCCUAUCAGGCUGUUGGUGGUGUGACGGACCACCAAACCUACGACGGGUACGGGCGAUGGGAGUCGGAGCCUGGAGAUGGGGACUGAGACAAGGCCCCAGGCCCUACGGGGCGCAGCAGGCGCGAAAACUCCGCAAUGCGCGCAAGCGUGACGGGGGAACCCCAAGUGCCGUUGGUCUUUUGAUCGACGGCUUUUCGGAAGUCCAAUAAGCUUCCGGAAUAAGGGCUGGGUAAGACUGGUGCCAGCCGCCGCGGUAACACCAGCAGCCCAAGUGGUGGCCGCGAUUAUUGGGCCUAAAGCGCUCGUAGCCGGAUCAGCAAGUCCUUUGUGAAAUCGGACCGCCCAACGGUUCGGCGUGCAAAGGAUACUGUUGGUCUUGAGACCGGGAGAGGUCGGAGGAACUCUUGGGGUAGCGGUGAAAUGCUGUAAUCCUGGGGGGACCACCAGUGGCGAAGGCGUCCGACCAGAACGGAUCUGACGGUGAGGGGUGAAGGCUAGGGGAGCGAACGGGAUUAGAUACCCCGGUAGUCCUAGCUGUAAAGCAUGCGGGCCAGGUGUCUAGCGCUCCUUG
This 745-nucleotide ribosomal RNA is filed under the name uncultured archaeon. RNAcentral's name for it is "bacterial SSU rRNA". It matches the Rfam family "Archaeal small subunit ribosomal RNA", at positions 52 to 787 of the family's 1478-position model. The record is from RNAcentral.